GUGCUCACUUCGGCAGCACAUAUACUAAAACUGGAUCGAUACAGAAAACAUUAGUGUAGCCCCUGCACAAGGAUGAUGCUCAAAUUUGUGAAGUGUUCCAUAUUAAA
Otolemur garnettii (small-eared galago) is the source of this 107-nucleotide small nuclear RNA. NCBI's taxonomy places the organism in Eukaryota, Metazoa, Chordata, Mammalia, Primates, Galagidae. The record is from Ensembl.